GACGAAGGAUGCAAGCGUUAUCCGGAUUCAUUGGGUUUAAAGGGUGCGUAGGCGGACUGAUAAGUCAGUGGUGAAAUCUCUCGGCUUAACCGAGAAACUGCCAUUGAUACUGUCAGUCUAGAGUAUAGAUGACGUUGGCGGAAUAUGACAUGUAGUGGUGAAAUACUUAGAUAUGUCAUAGAACACCGAUUGCGAAGGCAGCUAACGAAACUAUAACUGACGCUGAGGCACGAAAGUGCGGGGAUCAAACAGG
This 253-nucleotide ribosomal RNA is filed under the name uncultured bacterium. RNAcentral describes it as "partial 16S ribosomal RNA". It matches the Rfam family "Bacterial small subunit ribosomal RNA", at positions 524 to 776 of the family's 1533-position model. The record is from RNAcentral.